UUCUCUCCUCUCACUUCCUGCGCCUCCAUUCCACUCCCAACGUCUCUCUCUCCCUCUCUCAACUCCCUCAGCUUCGCCGGAACUCCGCCAUGGCUCGUCGGCCUCGACCGGACCAGCGGUCAGCCUCCACCGGCGUCCCCCUUCUCUCCUCUCUCGUUUCUCCCUCUCUCGGUCAGCCGCUGCCCAACUUAGGCUCGGCCUUCAUCCAGCGACGAGCUGGUCCUUCCAGCCGCCGCCUGCCACCACCGCCGCUGCAUACACGGCGGUCUCACCGCCGUCGCCAUCCGCCGUCGACCGAGAGAGUUGUAGAAACGGAUAGAUCGUGAAAAGAGGAUCGAAAAGAAAAUAAAUUUCGUUGUUGCUCGCCGGACAGCCACCGGAACGCCGCCGGACAGCCGCCGGAGCUCCGUCGACGUCGCCGGGCAGAAUCUUCGGCUUGAGGAUCAUGAUUUGAAGAAAAAGGAUGGCAUCUCGGGAAGCCAUUAUUCUUCUUUGUAUAGAUAUAGAAACAUGUAGUAUUUUUCUCACUUGUAUAGAAGAGACUCUAUUAUGUAUAAAUAGACAUUCAAUAUAUACUUCUACUAUAAUUGUAUAUGGACAAUUAUUUCAUAA
Molecule: long non-coding RNA, 612 nt
Organism: Salvia hispanica
Lineage: Eukaryota; Viridiplantae; Streptophyta; Magnoliopsida; Lamiales; Lamiaceae
Source: RefSeq, a predicted model, not a curated record